Long non-coding RNA from Triticum dicoccoides, 136 nucleotides. RefSeq lists it as uncharacterized. The record is from RefSeq and is a predicted model, not a curated record. Lineage: Eukaryota; Viridiplantae; Streptophyta; Magnoliopsida; Poales; Poaceae. The transcript is spliced from 3 exons.
GUUUCCAUUUACUUGCAGACAUUGGGCCUCCUGAGGAGCUAUACACAUGUCAGAAACUACAGCAGUCAACUUUCAGGUCUUAUUCCAGUUGGUCCCCAAAGCUCAAAGCUGACAAGAAGGAACAAUUACCUCAUCA